Molecule: transfer RNA, 75 nt
Filed under: Kitasatospora herbaricolor
Lineage: Bacteria; Bacillati; Actinomycetota; Actinomycetes; Kitasatosporales; Streptomycetaceae
Description: tRNA-Cys
Rfam family: tRNA
About the family: Transfer RNA (tRNA) molecules are approximately 80 nucleotides in length. Their secondary structure includes four short double-helical elements and three loops (D, anti-codon, and T loops).
Source: RNAcentral
CCCGGGUGUAGCUCAGCGGUGGAGCGCCUGUCAGCAAAGCGGGUGGCCGCAGGUUCGAGCCCUGCCUUCCGGGGC